GCUGGAUGUGUGGGCUCCGAUGGGGCCGAAGGGGGCGGUUCGCGACGAGGCGGGGCGGGUGCUUACUACGUAUCUCAAGGGCCGGCCGGCGUUUGAGGCUGACGAUCAGUCGGCGCUCAUCUACCUCCUCCUCAAGCAGCAGGAUCGCUGGGGGAGCAAGGUCUACAUAGAGAAUUCUUACUAUUUACAUGGGUUUUGGACUGGGCUGGUGGAUAAGUAUGAGGAGAUGAUGGAGAAGCACCACCCCGGGCUCGGGGAUGAGAGGUGGCCGUUUGUUACACACUUUGUCGGCUGUAAGCCCUGCGGUAGCUACGGGGACUAUCCGGUUGAGCGCUGUCUCAGUAGCAUGGAGAGAGCCUUCAAUUUUGCUGAUAAUCAGGUGUUGCAGAUGUAUGGGUUUGCUCAUCCGCGCUUGGCGAGCCCGAAGAUCAAGAGGAUUAGGAAUGAAACGGUAAACCCAAAGGCAGUGAAGGAUCAAGUGGGACUACAUGCCAAGAUCUCCAGCGUAUAAGUGAGGUCAGAUCCAUGCUCAUUCGUUGUGUGAUAGAUGAUUGCGUCAAUCGCUUGUGUAAUUUUAAGCCUCAGUUUUUCAAAUCUUAUAGCACCAAGUUUGUGAUUUUUGUUUCUUAUUUAGGUCAAUUACAUGUGGAAGGGAGAAUUGUAGA
Molecule: unclassified non-coding RNA, 665 nt
Filed under: Hevea brasiliensis (rubber tree)
Lineage: Eukaryota; Viridiplantae; Streptophyta; Magnoliopsida; Malpighiales; Euphorbiaceae
Source: RNAcentral